GUGUGACGUUAAAAAAAAUUUUUCGAACUCGCAACACCAAUUAUCUUUGCGUAAUGUACUCGAUACAUAAUUAUACAAACUAGAAAAAAAGUAUCUCACUCGAUAUCGUUACAGACAAAAUUUGCUUCUAACGAGUUUUGAAACGUGAGAAGCACUCGCAACUAUAUAUAGCAACGUAAGUGAAACAGAUUUUGUAAUGGCGGAAAUGGAAGGGUUGGCGGUCGGUUGCUAUGCGGGGUUCGCGUACGGAACUGACACCGAGAACUCGGUGGAAUAUACGGGUAGCGCGGUGCGACGCGGGACGUGCUAUUUUCCCACCGUACGUGCGUCCGAGGUAUGAGGUAAAAAAUAUAGGAGAUCGCCGAUGGCUGACUUUUGUACACCCCGCGUGUUAAAAAAUUGACAAAAUUUUCCGUCGACAUUCGUGUAUGUUUGUAAUGAAAAGAAAAAAAAAAAAAAAAAAAUCGUCUCGAAAAGCUUCUCGUUAGGGAUAUUUUUGAGGAUACGAAAAAUCGGAGAUGAAUAUAAUGAGAGGGAGAAAAGUAAAAAUAUG
RNAcentral lists this unclassified non-coding RNA (553 nucleotides) under Athalia rosae (coleseed sawfly). Its description in RNAcentral is "misc RNA ENSAEAG00005012223.1". Lineage: Eukaryota; Metazoa; Arthropoda; Insecta; Hymenoptera; Athaliidae. The record is from RNAcentral.